RNAcentral lists this non-coding RNA (26 nucleotides) under Rattus norvegicus (Norway rat). Lineage: Eukaryota; Metazoa; Chordata; Mammalia; Rodentia; Muridae. The record is from RNAcentral.
AUGAAUGUGUAGCUACAGGAAGGCCU